CCGUCAACAGGCUGACGAUUGGCUUUGGGAUACUAUUCCCAACACUCACUUACUCCUCUUAAAUUCCUUACUUUAUUUCCAUGCAUUCCUUUAUUUCCACAUGUCAUAUGAUGACUCUUGGGAUAUAUGGGCAUAGAAGAGAAGUAAGGGUCCUUCUCUGAGAAGGAACUCCAUGCCAAAAAUAAUUGGGAUGCUCUUUCAUUUUGUGCGUUGAAUAUGGAAGAGUCCUUAAUGUUUUGGACUCUUGAAUUCAUGCCCAUUCCCUUAUCCCAUGUGCCAUAAGAUGGCAUCUUAAUUUUUGUACGU
RNAcentral lists this long non-coding RNA (306 nucleotides) under Elaeis guineensis (African oil palm). Its description in RNAcentral is "long non-coding RNA (EGUI_LNC043228)". The record is from RNAcentral. Lineage: Eukaryota; Viridiplantae; Streptophyta; Magnoliopsida; Arecales; Arecaceae.